CUUUUCUCAGGCAGCAGAGAGCACGUUUUGGGGAGCCGAUGCUGYGGCAGCGCGGCUUGGACAGUUCUGCAGCGCGCUGACUCCCCCGUCGCCAGAGUCCAGGCCUUGCAUCAGGCAACGUUAACGGCAGGGCUGCGGUGCCUUCGGUUUAGCAAUAAUUCACAGCUAACCAAAAAUCAGCCUGCGCAUGUGGGAAUUGCUAUAUGAAACUCCCUCUCCUCCCCGCCAAGGCACGUUGAAUCUCUGGCAGCUCACGAGCGGCCGGCAGACCACAAGUUCAGAAACACCCGUCUCGUCCUCUCCUCCUAACAGCUAACAGCGACUCCCGACCUGAGCAAAUUCUGCCAUGGCCGAAAGCAGAGGAUGUUUGCAGUGCAGGGAGCUGAUCUGCUGACUUACCCUUCAUCUCUCGCAAGAACGCCAGGUGAGGAAGCCAGUCUCGCGCUCAGGGGAUGAAGCCCAAGGAGCCCGGCAGCAGCCACUGCGGAGCUUGCUCAGAAGUUCACUCCCUCUGUCACAGUGUAUGCAGCUUGCCAGGUAUAGCCUCGAUGAGAACACCCUGUGCUUUUCCCAAGAUGAAUGAGAUCAGCACAUAUUCAGAUAUGGCUGCAACUCAGGCAUUUAUGUGGAUCAUCCCUGUGGCUUUUCCAUUGCUCUGGGGUCCUGUGAUGUCCCACCUGGCAGGAGCUGGCRUAUCUUAGACGUCCAUGAAAUGAAAGGUGAGGUGCUUCCUCGGAGAGUGCUAAACACCAGGGAGGGAGCUUGACUUAGACCAGAAAACAGCAUUGGUGAGAUACCCUGAGCAGAGAUAAAGUGACUGCAGACUUGUACAAGAAGGAAGUCAGGGGUAAGAUCUCUGGCUGUUUGAGCAGCAAUGUUGUGAAAAAGGCUGUUAGUGAC
Molecule: long non-coding RNA, 900 nt
Filed under: Apteryx rowi (Okarito brown kiwi)
Lineage: Eukaryota; Metazoa; Chordata; Aves; Apterygiformes; Apterygidae
Description: lncRNA (ENSARWG00000013486.1)
Source: RNAcentral